GUAAUUGAACAUUAUAGUCAAUAAAUACUACUACAAAUCACAAGUCUUAAAUAUAAAAUUACAAUAUCCCGAACUUCGUUAGUUUCUAACCGAAAAACUGAAAGUGUAUCUUGAACAAAAAAAAGGGCCGAACUUCAGCUCACACCGAAUUCUACAUGAUAAACCAGUAAUCAAGCUCGUCAUCCAAAAUAACCUGCAUGUACAAAGUAUGUACAUAAGUUAGUAACAUGAUUAAUCAACAAAUAUGAAAGUCAGUUUUACCUCAAAAAAAUCAGUUUUUCUUCAUGUAUUACCAAGUUGAUAACCAAACAUGAAAGUCAACGAAUAGAAAUGGUAAUCUAUAAAGAAAACCAAGUUAAAGAAGACUAGAGGUAAAUAGAACAUACCGAUAACAAGAUAUUUGAGUUUAUCUUCCA
This 416-nucleotide long non-coding RNA is filed under the name Erythranthe guttata (spotted monkey flower). Its description in RNAcentral is "long non-coding RNA (EGUT_LNC001501)". Lineage: Eukaryota; Viridiplantae; Streptophyta; Magnoliopsida; Lamiales; Phrymaceae. The record is from RNAcentral.